CCUACGGGUGGCAGCAGUGAGGAAUAUUGGUCAAUGGCCGCAAGGCUGAACCAGCCAAGUCGCGUGAGGGAUGACGGUCCUAUGGAUUGUAAACCUCUUUUGUCAGGGAGCAAAGGGCGCCACGUGUGGCGUUUUGCGAGUCCCUGAAGAAAAAGCAUCGGCUAACUCCGUGCCAGCAGCCGCGGUAAUACGGAGGAUGCGAGCGUUAUCCGGAUUUAUUGGGUUUAAAGGGUGCGCAGGCGGAAUGUCAAGUCAGCGGUAAAAUUUCGGGGUCCAACCCCGUAGUGCCGUUGAAACUGGCGGUCUUGAGUGAGCGAGAAGUAUGCGGAAUGCGUGGUGUAGCGGUGAAAUGCAUAGAUAUCACGCAGAACUCCGAUUGCGAAGGCAGCAUACCGGCGCUCAACUGACGCUGAUGCUCGAAAGUGUGGGUAUCAAACAGGAUUAGAUACCCGAGUAGUC
Molecule: ribosomal RNA, 459 nt
Filed under: uncultured bacterium
Lineage: Bacteria
Description: partial 16S ribosomal RNA
Rfam family: Bacterial small subunit ribosomal RNA
Source: RNAcentral